This 253-nucleotide ribosomal RNA is filed under the name uncultured bacterium. RNAcentral's name for it is "partial 16S ribosomal RNA". It matches the Rfam family "Bacterial small subunit ribosomal RNA", at positions 524 to 776 of the family's 1533-position model. The record is from RNAcentral.
CACGUAGGGCGCAAGCGUUGUCCGGAAUUAUUGGGCGUAAAGCGCGCGUAGGCGGUUACUUAAGUCGGAUGUGAAAGCCCUCGGCUUAACUGAGGAAGUGCACCCGAAACUGAGUAGCUAGAGUACGAAAGAGGGUCGCGGAAUUCCCGGUGUAGAGGUGAAAUUCGUAGAUAUCGGGAGGAACACCGGUGGCGAAGGCGGCGACCUGGGUCGAGACUGACGCUGAGGUGCGAAAGCGUGGGGAGCAAACAGG